UGGGGAAUAUUGCACAAUGGAGGGAACUCUGAUGCAGCGACGCCGCGUGAACGAAGAAGGCUUUCGAGUCGUAAAGUUCUUUUAUAUGGGAAGAUAAUGACGGUACCAUAAGAAGAAGCCCCGGCUAACUACGUGCCAGCAGCCGCGGUAAUACGUAGGGGGCUAGCGUUGUCCGGAAUCACUGGGCGUAAAGGGUUCGCAGGCGGAAAUGCAAGUCAGGUGUAAAAGGCAGUAGCUUAACUACUGUAAGCAUUUGAAACUGCAUAUCUUGAGAAGAGUAGAGGUAAGUGGAAUUUGUAGUGUAGCGGUGAAAUGCGUAGAUAUUAAAAAGAAUACCGGUGGCGAAGGCGACUUACUGGGCUCAGUCUGACGCUGAGGAACGAAAGCGUGGGUAGCAAACAGG
Molecule: ribosomal RNA, 403 nt
Filed under: bacterium
Lineage: Bacteria
Description: partial 16S ribosomal RNA
Rfam family: Bacterial small subunit ribosomal RNA
Source: RNAcentral